AGGACACACUAAGGGUGGUGGUGACACGGAGAGGACACGCUAAGGGUGGUGGUGACAUGGGUAGGACACGCUAAGGCGGCGACACGUGGUGACAUGGGUAGGACACGCUAAGGGGGGUUAUAACAUGGGUAGGACACGCUAAGGGGGGUGGUGACAUGGGUAGGACACGCUAAGGGGGGUUAUAACAUGGGUAGGACACGCUAAGGGGGGUGGUGACAUGGGUAGGACACGCUAAGGGGGGGUUGUAACAUGGGUAGGACACGCUAAGGGUGACCUUAACAUGUAUAGGACAUGAGAAGGGUGGUGACAUGUGGUGACCAUAACAUGGGUAGGACACGCUAAGGGUGACCAUAACAUGGGUAGGACACGCUAAGGGUGGUGGUGACACGGGCAGGACACGCUAAGGGUGGCAACAAGAUGCGUAAGAACACGCUAAGGACGCUGACGUGCCCACGGCCACGCCAACACGCUAAGGACACGCUAAGGCUGGCAGGACGCUAAGGCUGGCGGCGUGCUAAGAGCUGCAACACGCUAAGGACACGCUAAGGACAACAUGCCGCGGAUUACAACACGCGUGGGAUUACAACACGCUAAGGAGAACGCGCUAGGGAUCACAACACGCUAAGGACACGCUAAGGACAGCAUGCCGCGGAUUACAGCACGCGUGGGAUUACAACACGCAAAGGAGAACGCGCUAAGGCUGUCGUGUGCGGGAUUACGACACGCUAAGGAGAGCACGCUGGGGAUCGCGACACGCUAAGGACACGCUAAGGAGUACGACACGUGUAGGAGAACACGCUAAGGACGACCACAUGGUAAGGGCAACGCGCUGUGGGACGGCAACACGCUAAGGACACGGACAGCACGCUAAGGGCCGCGCAACACGCUAAGGACACGGCCCCGCUGCCACUGCAUGCUGGGAGGACGGACACAUGUCGUUAGCGUGUCGGCCCGUGUCGAGUCGCCGCCGGGCCUGCCCCUGGCCCCUGUUAAUCCCGUGUUAAUCCCGUGCCGGUGGCCUGUUGCCCCGCGCAUGUUAAUCCCGUGUUGAUUCGCAUCUGCCUGCCUUAAUCCCGUGCUAAUCCCGUGUCGAUCGCAUGUCGGCCGCGUGUUGGUUGCAUGUCAAUCCCAUGUUCGUUCCCGUGUGCCUGCCCUAACCCCGUGUUAAUCCCGUGUUGGCCCUGGGGCUGUCGCGUGUCGUCGGCACGUUAACCCAUGUUAAUCCCCUGCCCUCCCCCGCCCCAUGUCGAUAGCAUGUUUGUAGCAUGUUCGUUACGUGUUGGGACCUCCCCUGGUGCCGUGUUGGUCCCGUGUCACGCGCGUGUCCGUCCCGUGUCCGGUCCGGCUCCAUCCCGUGUCAGUCCCGUCUUAAUCCCGUGCCAUUCCCUUGUUAAUCCCGUGUUAAUCCCAUGUUUUUCCAACCCUACCCUUGUUAAUCUGUGUAAAUCCCGUGUUGUUCCCAUGUAAAUCCCAUGUUUAAACAGUUUUGCCUGUGUUAAUCCGUGUUAAUCCCAUGUAGAGCGCACUUUGACCCCCGUUUCUGUCCCGUGUCAAUCACAUGUCAAUCCCCUGUUAAUCCAGAUUCAAUCCCGUGUCAAUCCCAUAUCAAUCCAGAUUCCGCACCCAGUCAAUCCCGUGUCAAUCCCUUGUUAAUCCCGUGUUAAUCCAGAUUCCACCCCUUGUCAAUCCCUUGUUAAUCCCAUGUUAAUCCAGAUUCUACCCUGGGUCAAUCCCCUGUUAAUCCAGAUUCAAUCCUGUGCCAAUCCCAUGUCAAUCCCAUGUUAAUCCAGAUUCAAUCUCGUGUCAAUCCCCUGUUAAUCCAGAUUCAAUCCCAUGUCAAUCCCGUGUCAAUUGCAUGUGAAUCCAGAUUCAAUCUUGUGUCAAUCUCAUGUUAAUCCAGAAUCUGUCCCAUUUCAAUCCUGUAUUAAUCCAGAUUCCACCCCGUGUCCAUCCCGUGUCAAUCCCAUUUUAAUCCAGAUUCCACCCUGUGUCAAUCCCGUGUCAAUCCAGAUUCAAUCCCGGUUCAAUCCCUUGUCAAUCCCAUAUUAAUCCAGAUUCAAUCCACAUGUCAAUCCCAUGUUAAUCCAGAUUCCACCCCGUGUCAAUCCUGAUUCUACCCCGUGUCGAUCCCAUGUUAAUCCAGAUUCCACCCCAUGCCAAUCCCGUGUUAAUUCAGAUUGAAUCCCGUGUCAAUUCAGAUUGAAUCCCGUGUCAAUCUUGUGUCAGUCCCGUGUCAAUCCCGUGUCAAUCCAGAUUCAAUAUUGUGUCAAUCCCGUGUUAAUCCAGAUUCAGUCCCGUGUCAAUCCCUUGUUAAUCCCAUGUCAAUCCAGAUUCCACCGUGAGUCAAUCCCAUGUCAAUCCCGUGUAAAUCCUGUGUCAAUCCAGAUUCCACCCCGUCUCAAUCCCAUGUCAAUCCCAUGUUAAUCCAGAUUCAGUCCCGUGUCAAUCCGGGUUCCACAGCAUGUCAAUCCCGUGUCAAUCCCGUGUCAAUCCCAUGUUAAUCCAGAUUCCAUCCUGUGUCAAUCCCAUGUCAAUCCCAUGUUAAUCCCAUGUUAAUCCAUAUUUAAUCCUGUGUCAAUCCCAUGUUAAUCCAGUUUCCACCCCUGUCUAUCCAGAUUCCACCCUGUGUCAAUCCCCUGUUAAUCCAGAUUAAAUCCCGUGUCAGUCCCAUGUUAAUCCAGAUUCCACCUGUGCUGAUCCCGUGCCAAUCCCAUGUUAAUCCAGUGUCAAUCCAGAUUCAAUCCUGUGUCAAUCCAGAUUCCACCCCGUGUCAAUCGCAUGUUAAUCCAGAUUAAAUCCCGUGUCAGUCCCAUGUUAAUCCAGAUUCCACCCCGUGCUAAUCCCGUGCCAAUCCUAUGAUAAUCCCGUGCCAAUCCCAUGUUAAUCCCGUGCCAAUCCUGUGUUAAUCCCGUGCCAAUCCCGUGUUAAUCCCGUGUUAAUCCCGUGUCUGUCCCGUGCCACCCCCCAGGACCACCCCCCGUGGGACCACCCCCUCAUUAACCUCGGGCAUUAAUCACCCCUCCCCUAAUCACCCCCUCGCCCACAAUUAACGCCGUGUGCCUAAUUAAUUAAUUACCGCCCCUCCCCCCCCCCCCCCCAAUUAAUUACCCACGAGCGGCCGGUUACGCGCGAAUAGUUAAUUAGGUCCGAGACCCCCCCCCCCGGUUAAUUAAUUGGCGGUAAUUAAUUAGGAGCAAUUAAUUAAUUAGGAGUAAAUAACGAAUUAAU
Cygnus olor (mute swan) is the source of this 3228-nucleotide long non-coding RNA. RefSeq lists it as uncharacterized. The record is from RefSeq and is a predicted model, not a curated record. The transcript has 5 exons. Lineage: Eukaryota; Metazoa; Chordata; Aves; Anseriformes; Anatidae.